UUAACACAUGCAAGUCGAGCGAGGAAAUUCCUUCGGGGAUUUCCUAGCGGCGGACGGGUGAGUAACACGUGGGCAACCUGCCUGAUAGAGGGGGAUAGCCUCCCGAAAGGGAGAUUAAUACCGCAUAAAGUCAAAUGAAGGCAUCUUCAAAUGACCNNNNNNNNNNACGCGAGCUGGGUUCAGAACGUCGUGAGACAGUUCGGUCCCUAUCCGUCGCGGGCGUAGGAAAUUUGAGAGGAGCUGUCCUUAGUACGAGAGGACCGGGAUGGACUGACCUCUGGUGUACCAGUUG
RNAcentral lists this non-coding RNA (292 nucleotides) under Clostridium intestinale URNW. RNAcentral describes it as "Bacterial small subunit ribosomal RNA". It matches the Rfam family "Bacterial large subunit ribosomal RNA", at positions 2518 to 2723 of the family's 2925-position model. Lineage: Bacteria; Bacillati; Bacillota; Clostridia; Eubacteriales; Clostridiaceae. The record is from Rfam by way of RNAcentral.